GUUUAAAGUAGUUUCAGAGGAGAAGAUUUUUUAAAUAGUUUACGAAGACAGAUUCCAAGUGAUGGCAUAAGCUCACAUGGGGCCCUUGAAGGAUCCCUGUGAGCUAAUUAUUACAAAAUAUAUACCCAUUUAGCCUAAGUUUGGUUAAAAUGAAUUAAUUCAGUAGUUUCAGAAGAGAAGAUCUAUGAAAAAGUGUACACCAGACAAUGGAUGAUUCAACAAUUAAUGCCAAGG
RNAcentral lists this long non-coding RNA (234 nucleotides) under Mytilus galloprovincialis (Mediterranean mussel). Lineage: Eukaryota; Metazoa; Mollusca; Bivalvia; Mytilida; Mytilidae. The record is from RNAcentral.